CCGGGGACUCAUGGGAGACUGCCGGGGUCAACUCGGAAGGAAGGUGGGGAGUGACGUCAAAUCAUCAUGCCCCUUACUGUCUUGGGCUUCACGCAUGCUACAAUGGCCGGUACAAAGGGCUGCGAUACCGCGAGGUGGAGCGAAUCCCAAGAAAGCCGGUCUCAGUUCGGAUUGGGUCUGCAACUCGACCCCAUGAAGUCGGAGUCGCUAGUAAUCGCAGAUCAGCAACGCUGCGGUGAAUACGUUCCCGGGCCUU
RNAcentral lists this ribosomal RNA (256 nucleotides) under uncultured Curtobacterium sp. RNAcentral's name for it is "partial 16S ribosomal RNA". It matches the Rfam family "Bacterial small subunit ribosomal RNA", at positions 1131 to 1382 of the family's 1533-position model. The record is from RNAcentral. Lineage: Bacteria; Bacillati; Actinomycetota; Actinomycetes; Micrococcales; Microbacteriaceae.